GCUUAUUUAUUCUCUUUUCUGCAAACUGUGCUUUAAGCCGUAUGAAAUGUUCAUGAGUACUGUCAUUGCUUCUAAUCUGGAUUUUCACAUGACUUUGUGGAUACAUCUCUCAUUGAUAACAUCUAAAAUAACUUCAAAAGACUGAUAAGUGAUGUGCGCUUGGCCGGUCACAAUGAUCUUCGGUGCUAUUACUGGAAUAGAACAACCAACUUCACUGGAUAAUUAUACUUGAUUGACUAGCAUAAGCAAAUAAUAUGAAGUGCCAAGCACUUAAAAGGUAUUGAUCAUUCUCAGUGACUCCUAUUAGUUCUUCUGUGUCAUUUUACAUCCUUUAACAUUUGCUCAAUAUUGAUGACUGCGUAUUUCAAUAAACUCACAGAAUUUGACUUUCUUCAUAGAAUGCUUGCAUGGCAGUGAAGCUGUAAUAUCUACUCAGACAGUUCUCACAUCCUAAUUAUCUCUAGCAUGUGAGUGAUUUUAUCUAUGCAUUAUCCACUUAUUAUAUAAAUGAGUUCAAAUUUCCAGUUGCAGGAUGUUGAUGAAUGACACACUGUCAAUGGCAGAUCCUUGAACUUACCAAAAAAAAGAAAAAAAGGAAAGAAAAGAAAGAAAGGUAGAUCCUUCAACUUAUACUUAUAUGAUGAACAAAAUAUUCCAGUUCAGAUUCAAUUACUAUAUGCUGAUAUGCCAGUAGCUAGGGACUUCAUUUUUCUUGUUUAGAGGCUUAUUACCAUCAUUUUUAUUGCUUUUUGUGCUAUUUAACUCGUUACAAAGCCUUGUUUUUAGUGUAACUCUAUUGGAUUCUAUGUCAAUUUCAUCGCUGAUAUGAACAAUUAAGAUUACUGGAAAAUCUUUUACUCUCAACAUUGUGAGUUCUAACCUGCUAAAGUUAGCAGAUGCUAAUUUUUAUUUCGAGUCAGCUUGAGGAUGGUUGCACUGUGGCAAUGCAUUUUUCUAUUGGUUAAAUGGUGGAUCAUCUCCCAUAUAAAUAAAAAGAAAGAAAAGAAAGAAAGAAAGAAAAAAAAGGAAAAAAAAUGGUGGAUCAUCAAUCUUACAUGACAAUAAUAUUCUAUUUAGCUUGUCAAAAAGCCUUGUUUUAGUGUAACUCUGCUGGGUUCUAUAUCAGUUUCAUCGCUGAUAUUGAAUAAUUAAGAUUACUGGAAAAUUUGUUACUUUCAACAUAGAGAGUUCUAACUAGCUGAAGCAAGCAGAUGUUAAUUUUUAUUUCGAAUCAGCUUGAGGAUGGUUGGACUGUGGCAAUGCAUUUUUCUAUUGGUUAAAUGGUGGAUCAUCAAUCUUACAUGACAAUUUUCUGUUGUAGGCAAUGUGAUGGUAGUUGGCUUUUCUAACAUAAAUUCUUCAACUAAUUAAGGCGUAGUGAUGGCUAAAGGAAAUUGUUUGCUAAUGAAGAUCCAGUCAUCCUCUGAUCAGCUGCUAUUAUGUAGCUUGGGUAUUUUUUAUAUUAACAUAAACAGUUAGGGGUGAACCGCUGAUAUGUACCUUGGGUAUUUUUUAUAUUAACAUCAACGGUUAAGGGUGAAGGAUGGAACAUUUCAUUUUGCAUGACAACUUGGUAAUUUGAAAUAUACUUGUAUAAUCAUAUUACCGUACAAGGAAUGUUUAUCUUGGACUUAUGAAUAGGGAUUUUCCAGACCAAACAACUCUUUGGCUCAAUUGAUUUGUACCCGAAGUUGACAUCCUCUUACUUUUGUUUCACAUCAAAGUCUUUCCUACAAACGUGUAUUGUCCAACAAGAUGAGGGAUUUUAACUUUGUUAAUUAAAAAUUUCUUUUCUAUGGUAGAAAUGUGAUUCUCAAACAAUUAAGAACUGUCAAGGUAGUGAAACGGCACAUGAAUAAAUCAUCUUCUUAGAGGGAACAAGGUUUGACGAACCAAGACAUUGAUUAUGGAUGUUCUAAUGAAAUUCAGCUGUGACAUUGAAGUUUAUUUUAUGCCGUUGAUGUUGUCCUGUUUCGUUACAUUCUGUUUUGUUUCUAAAGUGGCAAAAGUUGAAGUUUCCCUGAAGUAGUCACUCAAGAAUAAUGUGGAGCACUCCCCAGUUGCACAAGUGACCUCUACAUACUGGAGAGCUGUCCAUAAGCUACUCUAGGUCCAGAACACCAUUUCGGAGUCCCAGAAGCACCAGCAUUCUGCAUUGCUAUAUGAUUCCCUACAACAGCAGUCCUCGCAGGCACCAACUGGUCUGUUUAUGCUGUCUCCAUGCUACUCAUUCUCAUAUAGACCACACUAAUAAGCAUAAACGAGAACCAACCCCCACCAACCCC
Non-coding RNA from Camellia sinensis, 2285 nucleotides. NCBI's taxonomy places the organism in Eukaryota, Viridiplantae, Streptophyta, Magnoliopsida, Ericales, Theaceae. The record is from RefSeq and is a predicted model, not a curated record.